RNAcentral lists this unclassified non-coding RNA (277 nucleotides) under Dothideomycetes sp. RNAcentral's name for it is "partial contains 5.8S ribosomal RNA, internal transcribed spacer 2, and large subunit ribosomal RNA". The stretch from base 1 to 71 matches the Rfam family "5.8S ribosomal RNA", at positions 84 to 154 of the family's 154-position model. Lineage: Eukaryota; Fungi; Ascomycota; Dothideomycetes. RNAcentral also lists the same sequence under 2 other names. The record is from RNAcentral.
GUGAAUCAUCGAAUCUUUGAACGCACAUUGCGCCCUCUGGCAUUCCGGGGGGCAUGCCCGUUCGAGCGUCAUUAAAACCCAUCAAGCCUGGCUUGGUAUUGGGCGACGGGACCUCCCCGCGCCCCGAUUUCGUCGGCUAGACGACUGCGGUCUCUCAAGCGUUUGUGUAAAAUCUCGGUUGUUAGACGGGCGUCGGGCCGUUAAACACUUCUAAUCAAGUUGACCUCGGAUCGGGUAGGAAUACCCGCUGAACUUAAGCAUAUCAAUAAGCGGAGGA